Molecule: non-coding RNA, 4543 nt
Organism: Cricetulus griseus (Chinese hamster)
Lineage: Eukaryota; Metazoa; Chordata; Mammalia; Rodentia; Cricetidae
Source: RefSeq, a predicted model, not a curated record
CUUAAAAAACCCCCCCCCCCCCCCCCCCCCCUUUCUUUCUGGUUGGGUUGAGCGUCACAAUCUGCAGGUAACAGGCAGAUUAGGUGUUGCGCGCCUGGGCGGUUGAGCUGGGCUCCGUUCUAAGCUGGGCGUAUGGAUAGAUUCAAGAGAGAGGAUGUAUGAGCAUCUGUGUGUCACACGUGUGUCCAUAGUGGGUCGUCUGUGCGUGUGUGCACCCACAUGGUGCGUGCGCACCCCAUCCACCCCCCACCCCCACCCCUGCACAAAAGUCCGUAGAUCCCCGUUCCGGUUUGACUGCAGGGAGCUCUGAAUCCGGGGCUGUUAGAAAGCAAAAACAAAUCACUGUCUCCGCUUCUGCUUCUGAAACGAGACUCGGUAACUGCAUUUCCUGUCCCACGAGAUAUGCAAAAGCAAUGCAAUAAUAUCCAUUUUAAAAUACGAUUGUGAGUUGUGUCAGCAUUAAAAUUCUAUUUUAAAAAAACACAAAAUUUAAGGGAAAAACUCAAGAAGACAUUUUGCUUCGAUAUAUUCUGUGUAAUGUUUUAUUGCAUUGAUAAUGUUUCUGUUGAAGAAACUGUUAUACUUGAAUUCAGGUCAGUUUCAGUAUUUUUCAAAUAUUUUUUUAAAAACUGAAUUGCAAUUGUGCCAAGCAAAUACAAUGACUUAAGUUUGUUUUAAAAUUCACUUCUUGUAUAUUUUGCUGCAUGUAAAGUAAAUCAUUUUGUAUUUGGAGUGUGACAAGCUUUACCUUUGAACUCUGAAGUGCUUUUUCUACAUGUGGUUGGGGAGGAGAUGGUUUUCUUUCAUUUGCAAAGUGAACAAAGGUAACCCUGGUGUCACUCCUCACUCUGCUCUCCACUGGCAGGUCUGGGAGGUACCAUUUUGCAUAUCCUGUGUUUUGUUUCCAUUUCCCUCAAUAUCUUUCCCAAACCAGGUGGUAAGACAGUCCAUUGCUACAUCUUGCUUUGCAAGGUCAGCACAUGUUUCAUCCAGGUCUUCACUUUCUGCCUUCUGCUGUUCUCUGUGGAAACUUGUCCAGGAUGCUCCUGUGGAGGUGGCUGGCUUUCCAAAGUGCUCCCGCAGCACACGUCCCAACUGAGAGGAUGAGGUGACAGAUGAUCAGACUGGGGCAGUGUAAGACAGAUUCAUCUUUGACACAGUGAUCUACCCAAACACAGAUAGCCAUAGCCAUGCCUAGAGAAAGGUGAUGGGAUGGAACAGUGGUCCUUCUAGAAACUACUCAUCCUUUCCUUCUUCCAAAGCAGGGAGUCAGAGAAGAGGGCGGGACAUUGGGCUCUCAUAUAGGGAUGAAAGGAGCAGUUUGUGUGGGGCUUUUAUUCGGGCUCCUCCGUGUCUUGUCUGCCUUCAGCAACCCUUACAAUCAGCACCAGGUCCUUCAGUUGUGUCUUAACAGGAAUGGUUGAAAAGGAAGGACUAGGGAAAAUAAGACUUGACCAUUCACCCAGAAUUUACCUAGGUACGGAAUAUCUUCCCAUCCCACUGUCCUAACAGUCUUUUGGGGAGAUUAUGUGAGAAUCUGCUAGAAAUUCCAGCAAGGAUAUUCUUCAUUGAAGAUGAAUCUACUCUUGCAGGCUGUUUCAUGAAAAUGCAUAUAGGUACCCAGUGUCCACAGGUCAACCAAAGUCUAGAAACAGGUGUCUCCUAGGAUUUCCAUGUGCUGUUGACCAGGCGUUUAUGCACCCUUUGCAAUACCAGUAAUGGCUUCUAGAAUGUAGAGUAGAUGGCAUCCUUUGUCUUGUUUCCACAAAGUUCUACGACUGUGUUGAUAUCACUGUAGUGACGAUGAAGAGGGGAGCCCUCUGAUUGGCUGUCUGUUUCUUGCAUACAUCUGACCCUGGGGAAGUGUGGUGUUUUGAUUGCUCCUACACACAGACAUGCAUGCUCUGCAUGCUCAGUCUCCUCAUGCUGCCUUGAUUUCCUCUGGAAAUCUGCAUUGUCAGAUUCUACUGACCAAUGGCAUAAGCUACAGGCCAAGCUCCUGCAGCUCCUGUCAGGACUCUGUCCAGUGUGGUUUCCAAACCCCCCCUACACCAGUCAUAUCCACAGGCUGCCUUCUCCCUGAUGGCCAAGAAGACCAGAGUAGCCUUUCACUCAUACACUGCACCCUGCAAGAAUAGCAGCAUCAGGGACGAUGGGCCCCUUGCCCUUGGUUGCUAGAGGGAAAGGAGGUUCAGCCGCCAGUGGGUCUUUCAUGCUUGGCUUAAUGACUACCUGAAUAAGUUUGACACAUGCUGCCUGCCACCAGGACAGACGGGAACAGUGUGUAGGAAAGCCAGUGAACAUCCAGGCCAGACUAUCUACUCUCCACCCAACAUGGAAUUUCCCCAGUGACUGUUUUGAACAUGAUUAUCAGGUCUUCUGCAAGCCUGAGAGUCCCUGAAUGGCAGGGGAAUUAGGCUGCAGCUGGGGACCAAAGGUACAUGAAGGAGCAUAGACCAUGUGCUUACAUCUGUCCUAUGACUAGCUUUCUCUUUCAUUUCCAAUCUUUUCAUAUGUGAGGCCAUAUUAUACAAAGUCCAGUUGGUUCCUUUCUGCCUGGUCCUAGAAGGUUCUUCAUAUCUUCAGGUUAAAAGAGAGACACUUUCCUAGUCCUAGUUGAUUUGUAAAUGUCUUCCCUAUUAAUCAUGGUUCCCAUCUUUCUUAACCUGUCUAGGAAUCCAAGGCCCUAGGAAUCUGCCUUUUACCUUCCUCUAGUACCCUGGUUUAAAAUUCUGGGUACUGUGAACUGAAGGUCUGUUUCUUUCUCACAGUUCUCAGCCAUCCAGAGCUCCAGAGACCCUAACAGCAGGCAGCGCUUCCUUUGCCCAAAUCAGCACAUUUCUGAGAACACUUGAAGUCAGCAGAAGGAAAGUGUCUAUUGUACAGAGGCCAGGAGACACAUUCCACAGCUCGUGAGGGCAGGCCAAGAGAGCAAGAAUCCAGGUCAAGCAUCGAGUCAAAUCUGGUCAUCAGGGCUUUUAGCCUUCCCAUACCACAUUUCAAAUGUCUCCAAGAGGGGAAGGAUGGCCCCUCCAUCCUGGGACCUUGAGUGACUGAAAUGCCCUCACUCGGGAGCUAGAAACAAUUGAGUAGGACCUGAGGAAGGAUUGUUUGGCUUUCAGAAGAGCUACUCAGAGCCCAGAGAAGCUAAAACUUGUUGUCUCUGCUAGCUAUAAGGAAGACAAGGCCAGGAAAAAUACAAUGGAAAUGUGAAAUGUCAUAUCACCAGAGCCAAACUGCCUCAGGUGCUCACUGCUUUGGAGAUGUAACCCCUCAUCCCCAUGGGAAAUCCUAUGCACCCCAAUUUCCCAGAAUCUAAAUGUAUGAAGGCUACAGAACAGGUGACAUGCCACUCACUCCAGCAGAAAUGAGUCAAUUAUUGCAAAUUUGCCACCUAAAAUUUCCCUUGUGUACCACUCAGCAGGGUCACUACAGAGACAGUUUGGGGAGGCAGAGGCUGUAGGGAGUCAGAGGGGGAUUCCAUUUUCCAUUUUGGGGGAGCAGUGUGAAAGUACCGGGAGGUUGAACCAAGGACCUUCCUUGUGCAUGCUGGACAAGUGCUUUAGCUUUUAUUUGAAACAGCCUCUGCCUGCUAAGACUUCCCAGCAUGGAGAACUACACCAAGGGUAAAAGGAGGAGAGAACUCUUGGGAAUUGACGACAGGUGAUUCGUAAGCAAGCAAUCCCUGCAGAGGGAAGGCCCUUUAGAAGGCAUCACAGUGAGCCAUGAGCUAUGGGCACCUUUCUGUUCACCACACAGCACAUUUCCACAUCUGCAUCCCAGCCCCUAGACUUGAAAUCCACCCCUCAGCCUUCCUACCAGACCAUACACCCAUCUGCCCUGCCCUGCUUGGACAUGUGUUUCCCGCUCACUGCCCAUAACAAAGCCUGAGCGGCAGAGGAACAACGGGGUUUACACACUCUGUGGCGGUAGCAGUUAAGAACAACCUGUGGGGAAAGAAGUCAGUGAGAAACGGGGUGGCAGAUCCCCAGGAGUGAACACUGCAAUGUCUGCCUCUCUCAUAACACUACCAUUCCACUUUAAUCUGCCAGUGUUGCUAAGGAAAACGUCCCUUCAUGUAAAGGGUCCACAUAAAGCAGAUGCCACCCCCACCUCUCCAUGUGUCUGCUCAGUCCAUUUUUAUGUUCCCGAGAAAACCUGUGUCAUGUGCCAUGCCUGUUCCCAGAGAGGCAUGAAGAGAUGAACAGGCUUCUGUGUGACUCAUAUACUUCUGCCCAUCCCACACCCUGCCCCUCCAGGCUCCACGACACCACAGUCUGACUGUUGUAAAUAUUGUUGUACAGUUUGUAAUCAUCAAAUAAUCCUGUUGUCAAAGGCCCUGCCUGCUGCGCCUUCUCCCCCUCGAGCAAGGCCAGGGAAUCUAGAAGGGAAAACCUUCAAGGAGAGCUUCAGGGUCCAUCUCUGUGUGAGACGCUACUGUAUAUUCCUGUAAGAUUGCAUUUUUAUCUAAGGAAUGAUGUUAUUUAAAAAACAAACAAAAAACGCAAAAAAGAAUUGCAAAUAAAUUUCUUAACAAUGUCAA